Molecule: long non-coding RNA, 292 nt
Filed under: Hordeum vulgare
Lineage: Eukaryota; Viridiplantae; Streptophyta; Magnoliopsida; Poales; Poaceae
Description: long non-coding RNA (HVUL_LNC021247)
Source: RNAcentral
AAACAACAACAACAACAACAACAACAACCUCAACAACAACAACAACAACAACAAUGACCACAACAACAAUAACCACCACCACCACAACAACAACAACUAUAACAACAACAACAACAACANNNNNNNNNNCACAAGAACAACGACGACGACGACGUUGACGAUGACGACGUUGACGACGACGACAACAACAAUGAAAACGACGACAAGAAUGACAAUGAUGAGAACAACGAGAACAACGACAACAACAACGACAACAGCGAGAACAACGACAACCACAAAAAAAAUGAAUACG